This 300-nucleotide ribosomal RNA is filed under the name Blastocystis sp. subtype 3. Its description in RNAcentral is "bacterial SSU rRNA". It matches the Rfam family "Eukaryotic small subunit ribosomal RNA", at positions 52 to 369 of the family's 1831-position model. The record is from RNAcentral. Lineage: Eukaryota; Bigyra; Opalinata; Blastocystidae.
GUACUGCAUGUGUAGUAUAAAUAGUUAACUUUGAAACUGCGAAUGGCUCAUUAUAUCAGUUAUAGUUUAUUUGAUGAAGAAUACUAAUUGGAUAACCGUAGUAAUUCUAGAGCUAAUACAUGUAUAAAGUCUUGUAGACUGCAUUUAUUAGAAUGAAAACCAUAGGUUUCGGCCUAUUCGUGAGUAAUAAUAACUAAUCAUAUCGUAUGCUUAUGUAACGAUGUGUCUUUCAAGUUUCUGCCCUAUCAGCUUUCGAUGGUAGUGUAUUGGACUACCAUGGCAGUAACGGGUAACGAAGAA